This 1091-nucleotide small RNA is filed under the name Pan troglodytes (chimpanzee). RNAcentral describes it as "sense overlapping". The stretch from base 359 to 634 matches the Rfam family "SOX2 overlapping transcript exon 3". Lineage: Eukaryota; Metazoa; Chordata; Mammalia; Primates; Hominidae. The record is from RNAcentral.
AUUUCCUCAUGGUUGUGAUUCCUCUUCACUCUUUUGAAUUUGGAAGGAUGGCAUACACAUCUGAAAAAUACCACUACUUCCUUCAUUGGACGGCAAGGUAUUUCUGUUUGGAAAAGUAAUGGAGUCCAGUCAACUUCAUUGAUCUCCAAGGACUGUCAAAAUUAUAAAACUUGCUGUGGAGCUCUGACAUGCCAGAAGCCGCUAGAAAAAGAAGUUUGACAUUCAGAAACUUAUCAAGAGGUUCUACUCUUUGGAUAGAGACCAAAAUCAUACUUUGAAAAAGCCUGACAGGUUUCUUCGGAAAAGUGGCCAUCCAUGGAAUGAAUGAAAUGUUCUCUUUCUAUUCCAGGGAUUGCAGUGGCAAAGCUAGGCUAGGUCUUGGAGGCUGGUGUAAGGCGAUGCGGGUGAAGGCAGGAGGCUGAUGGAGAGACUGGGGGGAAGAAAAGCCGAAAUGGAUUCACGGUGCCUUGGAUGAAGGACGAGAGGGGAACUGCAAGCUCCUUCAACUGGUUCUGUCCGGUGAGAAGUGAUCAAGCUUGGGCUGACAAGAGGCUCAGGGAGCCCUCACGUUCUUUCGCUUUUUUACCUGCCAAUCAAACUGCUACAAGACAACACCCUGAUCUGGCAUGGACAUAUCCAACUUAGAAAUAAUGUUUCAUUCAAGAUAAGGCUCGUGGUUUAGGAGAUUGUGACCUGGCUUGCAUCAUUCUAAGACUUCUAUCGUCUGUUUUCAAAACCCAAGGAGGACCUCAUUUUCUGUGUGAUAGUUCCUCAUGCUUUGCCAGCCACUGGGUCUUUAAGGAAGCUUGCCAAGAGUUCCCGGCUGGGAAGGACAGUUCGAGUUCAUCAUAGACAAUGAGCUGGCACCACAGUUUAAGUGACUCACCAACCUGGUUGCCCACUUCAAAAUGUCAAGAACCACACUAUCUAAUUGAAAGAACUGUGUUUUAGCAAAGUGUAAUUGGAUCGCCUGGCAAGAUCAUCUCAAACUAUGUCUCUGACCUUGCCUUUCAGUGGCUAUUUUGAGCACAAGAGGAGAAAGGAAAUGAUUCCUGAAUUAUAUCUUGUUUUUAAAAAUUAAGAUUAAUUAA